GCCGCCCGCCCCCGCCCCGGGAGAGGGCUCCGGGGCGGCCCCCAACACCCCCCCCGCGUACGGCAGCGGGCUGCUUGCCUGAGCAAGUCUGCUCGGGCAGCGGGGGGAACCACAAAAAACCCCAGACACCCCCCCGCCGCUGCCCGGUUUCAGGCACCGAUACCGAGCUCGAGGGAUAAAGACCGAUUUUCUAACGGGGAAAAAGGUUUUGCCGAGCCUCCGUGGUCCAGUUAGUGCCUGAAUGAAGGACGCGUUAGCGACCGACGUGUGCAAGCCGCCAGGAAGGAAAACGCGUCAAUUUAUCACUCAGUGACGCCCUUCGACCCUUUCUUUUCAGGCAGAGUGUUGCAUUUCAGACCAACGGGGAAGCAAAAUUUAAGACGCUCCUGGCAACGCCAUCCAUUCCUGCACGAAGGGAUGACAGCCCUGUCCCCAGCACACCAUCCGUCUCCUCCCAACAGACACAAGAAAUUCAGAUCAGGAGUGUUGAUGAACAAGGUAACGGUAUUGACUGCAGCUUCAAUUUCUGUAGCAUCUGGGCACUACAGGCUGAAGCCGCCUGACAUCUACUGGAAAUGAGAGCCCACUGGAUGUAACAGGGGGACCUUUUAUAUUCUGGGGCAGGCUGGGACUCUCUCACAGAUUGGAGAGCAGUUGCCAUAUCAUGCUUAGGAGAAGUUAGAUGGAGAAUACAGAAUGAAGCAGUGGAUCUGUCUCCAGGAUUAAAAGAACCAGAUGGGAAAGGUCUGGGAAGUCUAUGGAUGGGACCUGGUGUAUGCAUUGGGCAACUGCCAGGUUUGCCCUGGACUGACUGCUAGCCAGAAAAGCAGAUUCCCACCUUUACCUCAUUUUCUUCACCUGAACCAGCAAUGAUGGGAUGGAGUACGUGUAUUGUGUGGAGCUGGAACAGGCUCAUCCCUCCCAGGAUGGGUUCUCGCACAGAGGACAAUGUUAUCUGCAUCUCCCAUGGUGGUAUGUUAGGCUGUGUGUGUCCUUAUAUCAGGAAUGCUUUUAAUAAACAAUAUAAUAUUUGAAAUUGUA
This is a long non-coding RNA of Aquila chrysaetos chrysaetos, 1041 nucleotides long. RefSeq lists it as uncharacterized. Lineage: Eukaryota; Metazoa; Chordata; Aves; Accipitriformes; Accipitridae. The record is from RefSeq and is a predicted model, not a curated record. The transcript has 3 exons.